CUGACGAGUGGCGCACGGGUGCGUAACGCGUACACAACUUGCCCUUUGGAGGAGGUUAGCCCUGGGAAACUGGGAGUAAUACUCCAUGGUACUAUUAAGGUGCAUACCUAAAUAGUUAAAGUUCCGGCGCCAAAGGAUGGGUGUGCGUCCGAUUAGUUAGUUGGUAGGGUAACGGCCUACCAAGACCACGAUCGGUAGGGGGCGUGAGAGCGCGAUCCCCCACACGGGCACUGAGACACGGGCCCGACUCCUACGGGAGGCAGCAGUAAGGAAUAUUGGUCAAUGGGGGCAACCCUGAACCAGCCAUGCCGCGUGCAGGACGACUGCCCUAUGGGUUGUAAACUGCUUUUAUAAAGGAAGAAUCAUGUGGAUUUAUCCGCAUUUGACGGUACUUUAUGAAUAAGCACCGGCUAACUCCGUGCCAGCAGCCGCGGUAAUACGGAGGGUGCAAGCGUUAUCCGGAUUUAUUGGGUUUAAAGGGUGCGUAGGCGGGUACUUAAGUCAGUGGUGAAAUGCUGUGGCUCAACCAUAUGCACUGCCAUAGAUACUGGGUACCUUGGAUAAGGAAGAAGCUGGCGGAAUGUAACAUGUAGCGGUGAAAUGCAUAGAUAUGUUACAGAACACCGAUUGCGAAGGCAGCUGGCUAUACCUUCAUCGACGCUGAGGCACGAAAGCGUGGGUAGCGAACAGGAUUAGAUACCCUGGUAGUCCACGCCCUAAACGAUGUUCACUCGGUAUGCGCCUUUAUAGGUGCGUGCCCAAGGGAAACCGAUAAGUGAACCACCUGGGGAGUACGUUCGCAAGAAUGAAACUCAAAGGAAUUGACGGGGGUCCG
RNAcentral lists this ribosomal RNA (835 nucleotides) under uncultured bacterium. RNAcentral's name for it is "bacterial SSU rRNA". It matches the Rfam family "Bacterial small subunit ribosomal RNA", at positions 88 to 923 of the family's 1533-position model. The record is from RNAcentral.